UCAGUUUGAUUCUAGCUGAGAACUUAGCUCUGUUGAACCAAUAUACAUGUAAGUCUUCGCUACCCCGCAGUGUGCUAAACCCUUUAAAAGUUUGCCCAUCUACAUCAAGACUUCUUUACGUAGAGAGCGCCACAGUAAUAAAUUCUAAGCAUUUGCAAAAACAAGAGUUGGGUAUCAACUUAAGAGUUGGCAAAAUUCGUGCCAGCCGCCGCGGUUAGACGACAAACUCAAGCUAAUUUAAAUAGACUAGAUGCAAGAUAAUUUAAACGGCCCCCUAGGUCUAAUUUUACAGCCUGGGAACCACACAUAUCUUAAAAUCAGGAAAUCUUAAACUAAAACACGGAUUAGAUACCCGUCUAUUUACGAAAUAUAUAAAGUCAAAAAAUACGAACAAUUGUUUAAAACUUAAAGAUUUUGGCGGUGUCUUAUCAGACCAGGGGAACCUGUCUCCUAACUCGAUACUCCACGAUAGCCCUACCCUUUCUCGACUAGCAGCUUGUGUACUGCCGUCGUAAGCACACCUCUAAAAGCAUUCGUGAGUGUGCAAGUAUGAUUAACCUCAUUUACGUCAGGUCAAAGUGCAGCCUAUGACAGGGGGACGAUGGGUUACAAACUAAAUAUAGAUGCCAAUUAGAGCUUUAAAACCUCUAUAAAGAUGGACUUGGGUGUAAUAGUAAUCCAAUAUUACAAUGAAACUGAAUCUAAGACAUGUACACAUCGCCCGUCACUCUCGCCCAAAGGUGGGAUAAGUCGUAACAAAGUAGGUGUAACGGAAGUUGCACCUGU
This 786-nucleotide non-coding RNA is filed under the name Eisenia spelaea. Lineage: Eukaryota; Metazoa; Annelida; Clitellata; Crassiclitellata; Lumbricidae. The record is from RNAcentral.